Molecule: ribosomal RNA, 522 nt
Filed under: uncultured archaeon
Lineage: Archaea
Description: bacterial SSU rRNA
Rfam family: Archaeal small subunit ribosomal RNA
Source: RNAcentral
CACGUGGACACCUACCCUUAGGUCGGGGAUAAACCCGGGAAACUGGGUAUAAUACCCGAUGGUCCUCGAAUGCUGGAAUGCAUCGAGGUCUAAAGCUCCGGCGCCUAAGGAUGGGUCUGCGGCCUAUCAGGUAGUAGUGGGUGUAGCGUACCUACUAGCCUACGACGGGUACGGGUUGUGAGAGCAAGAGCCCGGAGAUGGAUUCUGAGACACGAAUCCAGGCCCUACGGGGUGCAGCAGGCGCGAAAACUUUACAAUGCUGGCAACAGCGAUAAGGGGACCUCGAGUGCCAGGUUACAAAUCUGGCUGUCGUGAUGCCUAAAAAGCAUUGCAUAGCAAGGGCCGGGCAAGACCGGUGCCAGCCGCCGCGGUAACACCGGCGGCUCGAGUGGUAACCGUUAUUAUUGGGUCUAAAGGGUCUGUAGCCGGCCGGAUAAGUCUCUUGGGAAAUCUGGCAGCUUAACUGUCAGGCUUUCAGGAGAUACUGUCUGGCUCGAGGCCGGGAGAGGUGAGAGGUACUUC